RNAcentral lists this long non-coding RNA (223 nucleotides) under Lathyrus oleraceus (garden pea). Its description in RNAcentral is "Pisum sativum (pea) long non-coding RNA (PSAT_LNC003522)". The record is from RNAcentral. Lineage: Eukaryota; Viridiplantae; Streptophyta; Magnoliopsida; Fabales; Fabaceae.
UUUGGUUGCAACGACCAUCUUCUUUUUAUUUUAAGGGUUUUUAUCGAUAUUUUCCCUUUCCUUCUUUGGAAUAAAUAAAGUUUGGUGGCGACUCUAUUCGAAUCAUUUUUCCUCGAGCACGUGAACGCUUCGCGAAGGAUCGUAUUUUUUAAGAUGCGACAAGUGGCGACUCUGCUGGGUAAAUGCUCUGAGAUAGAGAUAUUCAAGCCUAACUUAGUUCUAU